UUUAUCGGCGUGGACAUGUUUCGAGAUAAUUUUAAUUUAGAUUUUUAAAAAUAUAUAUAUUAAUGAGGUUACAUACAUAUAAAUCUUAUUGACUUCGUCAUACAUUUAAUGAUAUUAAGAAGCCAAAGACAAAAUUAAUGGAAUAAUAUUGCAAGAUAACACAGAGAUACACACCAGACAUCAGUAUGCAAGUAUCACAGAGAUACACAUCAGACAU
Non-coding RNA from Biomphalaria pfeifferi, 217 nucleotides. NCBI's taxonomy places the organism in Eukaryota, Metazoa, Mollusca, Gastropoda, Planorbidae. The record is from the annotation of a GenBank genome assembly.